This 546-nucleotide ribosomal RNA is filed under the name uncultured bacterium. Its description in RNAcentral is "bacterial SSU rRNA". It matches the Rfam family "Bacterial small subunit ribosomal RNA", at positions 778 to 1314 of the family's 1533-position model. The record is from RNAcentral.
AUAGAUACCCGGGUAGUCCACGCCGUAAACGGUGGGCACUAGGUGUGGGCGACAUUCCACGUCGUCCGUGCCGCAGCUAACGCAUUAAGUGCCCCGCCUGGGGAGUACGGCCGCAAGGCUAAAACUCAAAGGAAUUGACGGGGGCCCGCACAAGCGGCGGAGCAUGUGGCUUAAUUCGACGCAACGCGAAGAACCUUACCAAGGCUUGACAUACACCGGAAACGUCCAGAGAUGGGCGCCCCCUUGUGGUCGGUGUACAGGUGGUGCAUGGCUGUCGUCAGCUCGUGUCGUGAAAUGUUGGGUUAAGUCCCGCAACGAGCGCAACCCUUGUCCCGUGUUGCCAGCAGGCCCUUGUGGUGCUGGGGACUCACGGGAGACCGCCGGGGGUUCAACUCGGAGGAAGGUGGGGACGACGUCAAGUCAUCAUGCCCCUUAUGUCUUGGGCUGCACACGUGCUACAAUGGCCGGUACAAUGAGCUGCGAUACCGCGAGGUGGAGCGAAUCUCAAAAAGCCGGUCUCAGUUCGGAUUGGGGUCUGCAACUCCG